UACGUAAGGGGCAAGCGUUAUCCGGAUUUACUGGGUGUAAAGGGAGCGUAGACGGUAAUACAAGUCUGAUGUGAAAACCCAGGGCUCAACCCUGGGACUGCAUUGGAAACUGUAUAACUAGAGUGCAGGAGAGGCAAGUGGAAUUCCUAGUGUAGCGGUGAAAUGCGUAGAUACUAGGAGGAACACCAGUGGCGAAGGCGGCUUGCUGGACUGUAACUGACGUUGAGGCUCGAAAGCGUGGGGAGCAAAC
RNAcentral lists this ribosomal RNA (250 nucleotides) under uncultured bacterium. RNAcentral's name for it is "partial 16S ribosomal RNA". It matches the Rfam family "Bacterial small subunit ribosomal RNA", at positions 524 to 773 of the family's 1533-position model. The record is from RNAcentral.